AUGUGAUCGUCUCUCGCAUAUCAAUAAGCGGAGGAAAAGUAACUAACAAGGAUUCCCCUAGUAACGGCGAGUGAAGCGGGAAGAGCUCAAAUUUGAAAUCUUAAAGGGUUUCCCUUUACGAAUUGUAGUUUAAAGAAGUGUUUUCUGUUGAGGUUUUGGUAAAAGUUCUUUGGAAUAAGGACAUCAUAGAGGGUGAGAAUCCCGUAUUUGACCUUUACUUUCAACUUUGUGAUACACUUUCAAAGAGUCGGAUUGUUUGGGAAUGCAGUCCAAAAUGGGUGGUAAAUUUCAUCUAAAGCUAAAUAUUGGCGAGAGACCGAUAGCGAACAAGUACCGUGAGGGAAAGAUGAAAAGAACUUUGAAAAGAGAGUUAAACAGUACGUGAAAUCGUCAAAGAGGGAAGCGUUUGACACCAGUGUUGUUUUUCUGAAAAUCAAUUAAAGAACUGUUUAUGCUAAGUUGUUUAGACUUUAUCAGCUAACUGUUUAGUUUUGAGCUUUUCUUUAAUGCACUUUUCAGUUAACAAGUCAACAUCAAUUUCUUUUGCUGUAAAAAAGCUUGAGGAAGGUGGCUUGAGAUUCGUCUUAAGUGUUUAUAGCCUCUUGCCUAUGCAGUCGGAGAGAUUGAGGUCUGCAGCGUAGAUCCUUCGGGGCUAAAUGCAUUUGUGCUAAGUUAUAACAUUUUAUAGACAACUUGUUGACUAUGAUUUGUCUUGUAGCUUACUCGCUUAUGUUAUUUUACCUACGCUUAGGAUGUUGACACACGCGCGUGCUCG
Molecule: ribosomal RNA, 775 nt
Filed under: uncultured Neocallimastigales
Lineage: Eukaryota; Fungi; Neocallimastigomycota; Neocallimastigomycetes; Neocallimastigales
Description: partial large subunit ribosomal RNA
Rfam family: Eukaryotic large subunit ribosomal RNA
Source: RNAcentral